RNAcentral lists this ribosomal RNA (253 nucleotides) under uncultured bacterium. Its description in RNAcentral is "partial 16S ribosomal RNA". It matches the Rfam family "Bacterial small subunit ribosomal RNA", at positions 524 to 776 of the family's 1533-position model. The record is from RNAcentral.
GACGGAGGAUGCAAGCGUUAUCCGGAAUGAUUGGGCGUAAAGCGUCCGCAGGUGGCAGUUCAAGUCUGCUGUCAAAGACCGGGGCUUAACUUCGGAAAGGCAGUGGAAACUGAACAGCUAGAGUAUGGUAGGGGCAGAGGGAAUUCCUGGUGUAGCGGUGAAAUGCGUAGAUAUGCGGAGGAACACCGAUGGCGAAGGCAAUCCCCUGGGCCUGCACUGACGCUCAUGCACGAAACCGUGGGGAGCAAACAGG